RNAcentral lists this ribosomal RNA (749 nucleotides) under uncultured Lachnospiraceae bacterium. RNAcentral's name for it is "bacterial SSU rRNA". It matches the Rfam family "Bacterial small subunit ribosomal RNA", at positions 28 to 776 of the family's 1533-position model. The record is from RNAcentral. Lineage: Bacteria; Bacillati; Bacillota; Clostridia; Lachnospirales; Lachnospiraceae.
GAUGAACGCUGGCGGCGUGCUUAACACAUGCAAGUCGAACGAAGCGUAUUCAAGUGAAGUUUUCGGACAAAGCGAGGAUAUGACUUAGUGGCGGACGGGUGAGUAACGCGUGGGCAACCUGCCUUUCACAGCGGGAUAACAGAGGGAAGCUUCUGCUAAUACCGCAUAUACCUUUAUAACGCAUGUUAGGGAGGGGAAAGAAUUAUCGGUGAGAGAUGGGCCCGCGUCCGAUUAGAUAGUUGGUGGGGUAACAGCCUACCAAGUCGACGAUCGGUAGCCGGCUUGAGAGAGUGAACGGCCACAUUGGGACUGAGACACGGCCCAAACUCCUACGGGAGGCAGCAGUGGGGGAUAUUGGACAAUGGGGGCAACCCUGAUCCAGCGACGCCGCGUGAGUGAAGAAGUAUUUCGGUACGUAAAGCUCUAUCAGCAGGGAAGAUAAUGACAGUACCUGAAUAAGAAGCCCCGGCUAACUACGUGCCAGCAGCCGCGGUAAUACGUAGGGGGCAAGCGUUAUCCGGAUUUACUGGGUGUAAAGGGAGCGUAGACGGCGAAGCAAGUCUGAAGUGAAAAUCCGGGGCUCAACUCCGGAAGUGCUUUGGAAACUGUUUUGAUAGAGUGUCGGAGAGGUAAGUGGAAUUCCUGGUGUAGCGGUGAAAUGCGUAAAUAUCAGGAAGAACACCGGAGGCGAAGGCGGCUUACUGGACGAUAACUGACGUUGAGGCUCGAAAGCGUGGGAAGCAAACAGG